Molecule: ribosomal RNA, 459 nt
Filed under: uncultured bacterium
Lineage: Bacteria
Description: partial 16S ribosomal RNA
Rfam family: Bacterial small subunit ribosomal RNA
Source: RNAcentral
CCUACGGGGGGCAGCAGUGAGGAAUAUUGGUCAAUGGACGAGAGUCUGAACCAGCCAAGUAGCGUGAAGGAUGACUGCCCUAUGGGUUGUAAACUUCUUUUAUAUGGGAAUAAAACAGGGUAUGCAUACCCUCUUGUAUGUACCAUAUGAAUAAGGAUCGGCUAACUCCGUGCCAGCAGCCGCGGUAAUACGGAGGAUGCGAGCGUUAUCCGGAUUUAUUGGGUUUAAAGGGUGCGCAGGCGGAGGCACAAGUCAGCGGUAAAAUCGCGGGGCUCAACCCCGCUCCGCCGUUGAAACUGUGUCCCUUGAGUGCGCGAAGGGUAGGCGGAAUGCGUGGUGUAGCGGUGAAAUGCUUAGAGAUCAUACAGAACACCGAUUGCGAAGGCAGCUUACCAAUCUAUAUCUGACGUUGAGGCACGAAAGCGUGGGGAGCAAACAGGAUUAGAUACCCGAGUAGUC